UCCCACACCAGUCUCUCCAAUUCAGAAGAGAAACAAAAGAAUUUGUUCGAAGAAAUCACUUGUUUGGAAAUAUUUCAGUACAGGUUUUAGGGGUCAGGAUCCAAUAGCAACAUGCAAUCAUUGUGGGCAGAUUUAUUCAUGCGACCAAUCAACUCAUGGAACAAGCACCCUAUGGUACCGUUUAAGGAACUUAUGCCCUGAAGAUCCACUCAAAGGUCAAGGCAAUGUAAGAAAAAACCAAGGAACACCAAAGCAUUCUUACGGUGUUGAAGACUGUCGCAAAGCACUUGCUAAUAUGGUUAUAAUUGAUGAGAUGCCAUUCACAGUAGCUGAAGGUGUAGGGUUCAGAAGAUAUUCCAAAGUGUUACAACCCAAGUUUGAGCCACCAUCUAGAAUCACAGUUGCAAGGGAUUGCAUACAGCGAUAUAUUGAAGAAAAGCCCAAGUUAAAGAAGAUUUUAAAGAAUCAUAGAAUCUGCCUAACAACGGAUACUUGGACGUCAAAGCAAAAUUUGUGUUACAUGACUCUAACUGCCCACUGGAUAGAUGACCAAUGGAAUUUGCAGAAAAGGAUUCUUAACUUUUGUUCAGUUGCAGAUCAUAAGGGAGAAACUCUUGGAAAAAGAGUUGAAGAAUGUUUGCUGGAAUGGGGUAUUGACUGCAUAUUCACAAUGACAGUUGAUAAUGCAAGUUCUAAUGACAAAAUGAUCAAGUACUUGAUGGGUGUGUGCAAAGAUUUGGAAGGGAGUUGUGUUAAAGCAUAAAUUCCUUCAUGUAAGGUGUUGUGCCCACAUAGUAAACUUGGUUGUAAAGAGUGGAUUAGAAGAGCACAAUGAAUCUAUCGACAAAAUCAGGACAGCUGUUAGAUUUGUGAGAUCUUCUCCGUCAAGAUUGAAGGUUGUCAAAAAAUGUGCAGAAUUAGAGAAAAUCUCAAGCAAAAGUCUUUUGUCCUUGGAUAUAGAGACAAGAUGGAAUGCUACCUACCUUAUGUUGGAGAGUGCUGAAAAGUUUGAAAAGGCUUUUGCAAGACUAGAGAGAGAUUGUAAGCCAUUCAAAGCUUUCUUUCCUAAUAGUAACCCUCCUAAUGCACAUGACUGGGUAUCAGCAAGGCGCAUAUUGUCUUUCCUGAAACUAUUUGAAAAGGUGACAACACGUCUUUCAGCUUCUUUACAUGUUACAUCAGCCAUUGUAUUUCAUGACAUAAUGCUAAUGCUUGCAAAACUGGAUGAGAUUGCUUUAGCCGAUGAUCCAAUAUUAUCUUCAAUGGCAUCUUUCAUGAAACUAAAAUUUCAGAAGUAUUGGGAAGAAGAGGGAAAUCUCAACUACUUGUUGUUUAUAGCUGUAAUCUUAGAUCCAAGAUACAAGCUAAAAUAUUUGACAUUUUGCUUAGAAAUUUUGUAUGGGUCAGAUAAGGGAAAGCAAUUAUCUGAGAGAACUCAGUUAGCUCUUAAUGAAUUAUUUGGGUUCUAUACUCAAACCAUCAGAACACCUUCUUCAAGCAGUAGAUCUUCAAAUCAAGCACUGAUUCACAUUAAUGUAAAUGAAGAUGAUGAGGAGAAUCCCUGGGACAUGUUGGCAUCUCA
Molecule: long non-coding RNA, 1582 nt
Filed under: Sorghum bicolor (sorghum)
Lineage: Eukaryota; Viridiplantae; Streptophyta; Magnoliopsida; Poales; Poaceae
Description: long non-coding RNA (SBIC_LNC003451)
Source: RNAcentral